Long non-coding RNA from Megalopta genalis, 389 nucleotides. RefSeq lists it as uncharacterized. Lineage: Eukaryota; Metazoa; Arthropoda; Insecta; Hymenoptera; Halictidae. The record is from RefSeq and is a predicted model, not a curated record.
UCGACGCAGAUGACAGCACUAGGAUACCAGCUGUGGGGUUGCUGCCUCCUGCACUCCACACCAGAUGGAUAUCUUCCGGGGGCGUCAACUCUAUAGGGAAAAUUGGCAACACUGUUUUGAUUACCAUCUGAGCUAGCUGCAGACUUGAACGAACUAAAAUUCAAUAUGGCUGCCCACCCGCAUGCGCAUUUGGUGAACUAUGAUAGACUAUGUGCCGUCGCAACGUUAUUCCCGCCACUCUGAGCGAAGCCAAGCAGAACCAGUGAACUGCAGCGAACAAAUAUACUGGACAUAAAUAAUUCUUUUAUAUCGAUCCAUCCUAUCAUCGACAACGUAGCAGCGAAGACGUCGCAGCCAGAAGCAGCAAGAACUUUGGAGCCAGAAACAGC